Molecule: ribosomal RNA, 430 nt
Filed under: Limapontia senestra
Lineage: Eukaryota; Metazoa; Mollusca; Gastropoda; Limapontiidae
Description: partial 16S ribosomal RNA
Rfam family: Bacterial large subunit ribosomal RNA
Source: RNAcentral
AGCCUAAAGAAUUAUAUUAGGUGAGACCUGCCCAGUGCAAAUAAGUUAACGGCCGCAGUACCCUGACUGUGCUAAGGUAGCAUAAUCAGUUGGCUUUUAAAUGGAGUCGGGAAUGAAUGGAUUCAUGGGGUUAAGCUGUCUCUUAUAUAUUUAUUUGAAUUUAUUUAUUAGGUGAAAAUACCUAAAUUAAGAAAAAAGACGAGAAGACCCUAGGAGUUUGCACUAAAUCUAAUAAGUAGAUACGUUUUUGUUGGGGCGACAAAAGAAGAUAAAAACUUCUUUUUAUUAUUAUUUGCCGACUUAGUAUGAAAAUUUAAACUACCCUAGGGAUAACAGCGUAAUCCUUUAUAGGGUUUGCGACCUCGAUGUUGGAUUAGGAAUUUAGUUGGCUAGCCGCCUUCUUAUAUUGUUCUGUUCGAACUAAUUUUCC